Molecule: long non-coding RNA, 466 nt
Filed under: Struthio camelus australis
Lineage: Eukaryota; Metazoa; Chordata; Aves; Struthioniformes; Struthionidae
Description: lncRNA (ENSSCUG00000018302.1)
Source: RNAcentral
GUUUCUGGGAAGAAAGGAGCAGGCUCUUGAAGAGAAGGAGGUGCAGUCCCAACCCAUCAAAAUAGACCUUUGCUGGAACUGCUGGAAGUGUUUUUCUGCGCUUGGGUCAAGACGCACGCCCUGCUGCGGCAGUGCCCUGCAACACCUCUUUCGCCCCUGCACCCCAGUCCACAUGGGGUGGGAACAGGGCAGUUGCAACCAAAUGGAGCAGAGCCGGGUGCCAGGCACGUCCCAGACCUCGGAGACUGGGACCUUCAUGCCUACUGCAGGGUGUGCUAUCACUGGUUUUCAGUGGAGUCAGCUUGUACUGCAGAUGUGAAGAAUCCCUUCCUACUUUCUGAAAAAGAGGCACUACUUAGGACCAAGGUACUUUAACAUUGCUAAUAUCAGUAAGAUACUUGUUACUUUGCCAGGAGAUAUCAGCACAGAAGGUCUGAAACUGAGCACAGGAGAAAAAAGAAAAAAC